CGACCGCUGGCGGCGCGCCUACCACAUGCAAGUCGACCGAGCGAGAGAGAGCUUGCUUUCUCGAGCGAGUGGCGAACGGGUGAGUAACGCGUGAGGAACCUGCCUCAAAGAGGGGGACAACAGUUGGAAACGACUGCUAAUACCGCAUAAGCCCACGACCCGGCAUCGGGUAGAGGGAAAAGGAGCAAUCCGCUUUGAGAUGGCCUCGCGUCCGAUUAGCUAGUUGGUGAGGUAACGGCCCACCAAGGCGACGAUCGGUAGCCGGACUGAGAGGUUGAACGGCCACAUUGGGACUGAGACACGGCCCAGACUCCUACGGGAGGCAGCAGUGGGGAAUAUUGCACAAUGGGGGAAACCCUGAUGCAGCGACGCCGCGUGGAGGAAGAAGGUCUUCGGAUUGUAAACUCCUGUUGUUGAGGAAGAUAAUGACGGUACUCAACAAGGAAGUGACGGCUAACUACGUG
This 464-nucleotide ribosomal RNA is filed under the name uncultured bacterium. Its description in RNAcentral is "partial 16S ribosomal RNA". It matches the Rfam family "Bacterial small subunit ribosomal RNA", at positions 30 to 507 of the family's 1533-position model. The record is from RNAcentral.